GCUGGAGAACUGAGGGGGGCUGCUCCUAGUACGAGAGGACCGGAGUGGACGCAUCACUGGUGUUCGGGUUGUCAUGCCAAUGGCACUGCCCGGUAGCUAAAUGCGGAAGAGAUAAGUGCUGAAAGCAUCUAAGCACGAAACUUGCCCCGAGAUGAGUUCUCCCUGAGACUUAGAGUCUCCUGAAGGAACGUUGAAGACGACGACGUUGAUAGGCCGGGUGUGUAAGCGCAGCGAUGCGUUGAGCUAACCGGUACUAAUGAACCGUGAGGCUUAACCUU
RNAcentral lists this ribosomal RNA (278 nucleotides) under Salmonella enterica. RNAcentral's name for it is "partial 23S ribosomal RNA". It matches the Rfam family "Bacterial large subunit ribosomal RNA", at positions 2652 to 2925 of the family's 2925-position model. The record is from RNAcentral. Lineage: Bacteria; Pseudomonadati; Pseudomonadota; Gammaproteobacteria; Enterobacterales; Enterobacteriaceae. RNAcentral also lists the same sequence under 3 other names.